AAUUGAAACAUCUUAGUAGCUAGAGGAAAAGAAAGCAAACGCGAUUCCCUUAGUAGCGGCGAGCGAAAUGGGAACAGUCUAAACCAAAACAAUUUCUGUUUUGGGGUUGUGGGAAGAAUAAAAUAUUAAAAAUAGAAAGUGAAACGAAGCAGCUGAAUCCUGUACCAGAGACGGUGAAAGUCCGGUAGUUAAAAACUAUAUAUUUUUAUUUUCUUAUCCCGAGUAGCAUGGAGCACGUGAAAUUCCGUGUGAAUCAACGAGGACCACCUCGUAAGACUAAAUAUUCCUAGGUGACCGAUAGUGAAAUAGUACUGCGAAGGAAAGGUGAAAAAGAACCCCUACAGGGGAGUGAAAUAGAACAUGAAACCGUAAGCUGUCAAGCAAUGGGAGGGUUUAUUUAAUUUAUAAUUAAAUAGUAUAAAACCUGACCGUGUGCCUGUUGAAGAAUGAGCCGGCGACUUAUAUUAAGUGGCAUGGUUAAAGAAAACCAUCUGAAGCCAUAGCGAAAGCAAGUCUUAAUAGGGCAUAACGUCACUUAAUAUGGACCCGAACCCGGGUGAUCUAACCAUGACCAGGAUGAAGCUUGGGUAAAACCAAGUGGAAGUCCGAACCGACCGAUGUUGAAAAAUCGGCGGAUGAGUUGUGGUUAGGGGUGAAAUGCCAAUCGAACUCGGAGCUAGCUGGUUCUCCCCGAAAUGCGUUGAGGCGCAGCGAUUAACGAUUUUAAUAGAGCUGUUUAGGGGUAAAGCACUGUUUCGGUGCGGGCUGCGAGAGCGGUACCAAAUCGUAGCAAACUAAGAAUACUAAAUAUUGCUUUCCGUUAAUCAGUGAGACGGUGGGGGAUAAGCUUCAUCGUCGAGAGGGAAACAGCCCAGAUCACUAGCUAAGGCCCCUAAAUGAUUGCUAAGUGGCAAAGGAGGUGAAAAUGCUAAAACAACCAGGAGGUUUGCUUAGAAGCAGCCAUCCUUAAAAGAGUGCGUAAUAGCUCACUGGUGAAGCGUUUUUGCGCCGAAAAUGAACGGGACUAAGCAAUCUGCCGAAGCUGUGGGUUAAAAUUUAAUAUUUAAAAAUGAAUUUUUACGGUAGGGGAGCGUUCC
This 1097-nucleotide ribosomal RNA is filed under the name Hymenobacter sp. RNAcentral describes it as "partial 23S ribosomal RNA". It matches the Rfam family "Bacterial large subunit ribosomal RNA", at positions 191 to 1242 of the family's 2925-position model. The record is from RNAcentral. Lineage: Bacteria; Pseudomonadati; Bacteroidota; Cytophagia; Cytophagales; Hymenobacteraceae.